Lathyrus oleraceus (garden pea) is the source of this 612-nucleotide long non-coding RNA. RefSeq lists it as uncharacterized. The record is from RefSeq and is a predicted model, not a curated record. NCBI's taxonomy places the organism in Eukaryota, Viridiplantae, Streptophyta, Magnoliopsida, Fabales, Fabaceae. The transcript has 3 exons.
GCGCAAAAUCUCUGAAGAUUCGCCAUCUCUCUCUCACAAAGACAGAAACAAAAAGAAAAAGAAAACUCCCCGUCCUACUCACUCUCUCAACUUCUCUCUAAACCUUGUUUGUCGUCUCUAUCGCUUCUCUAUCGCUUCUCUAUCGCUCAUCCCAAACCUAUCUCAAACGCAAUCACCUCUCUCAAUCUCUUCCAAUCGCGUCUCUCUCACCCUCAAUCCUCUCAAACCUAAAGACGCCACAUAAGAGAGAUUCAGAGGGAAAACGAAGUGGUGCUCACCUUUGGAUAUGAUUCGGUGGUGGCAGCGAGCUUGCAAUGAGCUCUCUUUGUUAGGGUUACAAAUUGAUGCUCAAGAGUUCGAAAGGAGAAAGUUCCAGGAUUGCUUUUGGAUGCUCAGAAUUGGAGUGCCUUCUUUGAUCAUUGGACUCGGAAAGUGAAUUUCUUGGCCUUCGAUGGAAACUUAGGAGUACUGGCAGCAGCCUUUUCAGUCCUUUUUGGUAAAAGCAUUGGGUUGAUGCUUCUUCCGCCAUGGCCAAAUUUGAGACGAAUACACGCUGAGAUGAAUACACGCUUAGAGGCGUGAACGUGAAGAUUAUUGAGUUUCUUGACAAAA